This 378-nucleotide ribosomal RNA is filed under the name Planktothrix agardhii Os-Pam-SB. RNAcentral's name for it is "bacterial SSU rRNA". It matches the Rfam family "Bacterial small subunit ribosomal RNA", at positions 112 to 523 of the family's 1533-position model. Lineage: Bacteria; Bacillati; Cyanobacteriota; Cyanophyceae; Oscillatoriales; Microcoleaceae. The record is from RNAcentral.
UACGCGUGAGAACCUGCCUCUAGGACGGGGACAACAGUUGGAAACGACUGCUAAACCCGGAUGAGCCGAAAGGUAAAAGAUUAAUCGCCUAGAGAGGGGCUUGCGUCUGAUUAGCUAGUUGGUGAGGUAAGAGCCCACCAAGGCGACGAUCAGUAGCUGGUCUGAGAGGAUGAUCAGCCACACUGGGACUGAGACACGGCCCAGACUCCUACGGGAGGCAGCAGUGGGGAAUUUUCCGCAAUGGGCGAAAGCCUGACGGAGCAAGACCGCGUGGGGGAGGAAGGUUCUUGGAUUGUCAACCCCUUUUCUCAGGGAAGAACACAAUGACGGUACCUGAGGAAAAAGCAUCGGCUAACUCCGUGCCAGCAGCCGCGGUAA